CUAUACAUGACUCUGCGCAUAUCAAUAAGCGGAGGAAAAGAAAAUAACAAUGAUUUCCCUAGUAACGGCGAGUGAACAGGAAAGAGCUCAAAGUUGGAACCUGCUUGACUUAGUUAAGCCGGAUUGUAAACUGUAGAAACGUUUUCUAGGCAAGCCGAGUUAAAAAGUCCUUUGGAACAGGGCAUCAUAGAGGGUGAGAAUCCCGUCUUUGACUCGAGUAUUUUGUCUUUUUAUGAUACGUUUUCCAAGAGUCAGGUUGUUUGGGAAUGCAGCCUAAAUUGGGUGGUAAAUCUCACCUAAAGCUAAAUAUUUGCGAGAGACCGAUAGCGAACAAGUACCGUGAGGGAAAGAUGAAAAGAACUUUGAAAAGAGAGUUAAAUAGUACGUGAAAUUGUCAAAAGGGAAGCGUUUAACACCAGUGUUGUUUUCUGAAAAUCAACCUCUGUUAGCUUUAUGCAUGUUUGUUUAGACCUAAUCAGCUAUCCUGCAUGUUCUAUUGUUUGCAGUGGUGCACUUUUCAGUUUACAGGUCAACAUCAGUUUUUUUUACCGUAAAAAAGUUAAAGAAAGGUAGCUCAUGGCUCCGGUCGUGAGUGUUAUAGUCUUUUUCCUAUGCGGUAGGAGAGACUGAGGUCUGCAGUGUAGGCUAUUUGGCUAGAUACUCAGGUGCUAUGUGAUAUCAUUUCAUAAACAACUUGUUGAUUAUGUUUUGUCUAUUGCAUACUCGCUUGUACUAUCAUACCUACGCUUAGGAUGUUGACAAGACUGUCGAUCUCAUCUAUACAUGACUCUGCGCAUAUCAAUAAGCGGAGGAAAAGGGGCAGUGGCUUGACCAUAUCUCGGGAAAGAAGUCAUGGUCGUACCUACGCUUAGGAUGUUGAGUCGUAGAGCACGCAG
Molecule: ribosomal RNA, 896 nt
Filed under: uncultured Neocallimastigales
Lineage: Eukaryota; Fungi; Neocallimastigomycota; Neocallimastigomycetes; Neocallimastigales
Description: partial large subunit ribosomal RNA
Rfam family: Eukaryotic large subunit ribosomal RNA (bases 6-665)
Source: RNAcentral